GACGAACGCUGGCGGCGUGCCUAAUACAUGCAAGUUGAGCGAUGAAGCUUGGUGCUUGCACCAAUUUGAAGAGCAGCGAACGGGUGAGUAACGCGUGGGGAAUCUGCCUUUGAGCGGGGGACAACAUUUGGAAACGAAUGCUAAUACCGCAUAACAACUUUAAACAUAAGUUUUAAGUUUGAAAGAUGCAAUUGCAUCACUCAAAGAUGAUCCCGCGUUGUAUUAGCUAGUUGGUGAGGUAAAGGCUCACCAAGGCGAUGAUACAUAGCCGACCUGAGAGGGUGAUCGGCCACACUGGGACUGAGACACGGCCCAAACUCCUACGGGAGGCAGCAGUAGGGAAUCUUCGGCAAUGGACGAAAGUCUGACCGAGAAACGCCGCGGGAGUGAAGAGGGUUGUCGGAUCGGAAAACUCGGUUGGUAGAGAAGAACGUUGGUGAGAGUGGAAAGCUCAUCAAGUGACGGUAACUACCCAGAAAGGGACGGCUAACUACGUG
Molecule: ribosomal RNA, 497 nt
Filed under: uncultured bacterium
Lineage: Bacteria
Description: partial 16S ribosomal RNA
Rfam family: Bacterial small subunit ribosomal RNA
Source: RNAcentral